This is a long non-coding RNA of Cygnus atratus (black swan), 1054 nucleotides long. RefSeq lists it as uncharacterized. The transcript has 3 exons. The record is from RefSeq and is a predicted model, not a curated record. NCBI's taxonomy places the organism in Eukaryota, Metazoa, Chordata, Aves, Anseriformes, Anatidae.
UGGUGCUGAGGCCGAGGCCGGCUCUCGCUGAGAUCGGCUGAGGCAGCUAGCUUUGGCAUCUAGGCGGUGGCGUUCGGGCUCGCCGCAACCAAAGAUUAUCUUAAAGCAACGCUGGGCGUAAAUCUACGGCGUGGUAAUUCCAGUCGUGCACUUUCUUUCGUCGAGGUAAACACAGCAAGUAUUUAGAAAUAACUUCGGUUUCCGUCUGGUACCUCGGUUCUACGGAAAAGCAAAUGCGACAAUUGGAUUAUCACGGGACAGAUCUCUCUUGGAGACCUUUUAAAGAAAUGGCAUCCAACUUGCCUCUUAUUAAAAAGAAUGUUUACUUACCACAGAUUUCUGGUGUGUGUGAAUUCAUAAGACCAAGUUCCCAAGCCCAUUUUAUGAGUGAGAGGGGAUACUGAAGUAGGAAAAAUUACCUUCCAGUUCAGCACAGUUAACAUUUUAAAUUUUAUUCAGAUUAAGAUAAAAAUCUAUUUUCCCUGUACUGUAUGAUAGAUUCAUCUCUCCAGUUUUGUCACAUUGUGCAGCAACAGGAAUAAUGUCCUCCACAACAAUUUUAUGAGCAGCAGCUUGAAACUCUUUCUGCUCGUAAGUUCUAUUAAAAAAAAAAGUCAAAAAUUCCAUAUUAUCUUUAAUUUUGCCAGUUCUCAAAUGAUGAGAAAAGAGAAAAGCCUCAGUUCCUUCCAGGGCAAUCCAAACCACCACUUCCGGGACCUCUCCAGGAACAACAACAAAAAAAAAAAAGUUGGUUAGUUGGUUACAAAGUCAAGAAGAACACAGCCUAUAAUGCGUCUCAACAUAGUGAAAAAGUAUUUUCAGAAAAUACUGAAAACAUCUGUAAAGUUAAAAGAAGAAAUGCAGGAAGACCACUGCUAGGCAUAGAAGAAGGAGAAACUAUGACAUAACUGAACACCGAUCUGCUAAGUGAGUUUAUUAAUAGUUCAGGACUGUAUUUUCCAGUAGGCAACACAUUAUUCAACCACAGCCAUUGAAAAAUGGUAUCUUGCUUUCUUCCUCAAGUUGUGUCACUACUAUCACUGUUACACUGAAG